This 72-nucleotide transfer RNA is filed under the name Felis catus (domestic cat). RNAcentral describes it as "tRNA-Gln (CTG) (tRNA-Gln-CTG-10-1)". It matches the Rfam family "tRNA". From Rfam's summary of the family: Transfer RNA (tRNA) molecules are approximately 80 nucleotides in length. Lineage: Eukaryota; Metazoa; Chordata; Mammalia; Carnivora; Felidae. The record is from RNAcentral.
UCCAGGGCUAGCUCAGUUGGUAGAGCAUGCAACUCUGAAUCGCAGGGUCAUGAGUUCAAGUCUCAUGUGGAG